This 253-nucleotide ribosomal RNA is filed under the name uncultured bacterium. RNAcentral's name for it is "partial 16S ribosomal RNA". It matches the Rfam family "Bacterial small subunit ribosomal RNA", at positions 524 to 776 of the family's 1533-position model. The record is from RNAcentral.
UACGUAGGGGGCAAGCGUUGUCCGGAUUUAUUGGGCGUAAAGAGCGUGUAGGCGGCUAGGUAGGUCCGUUGUGAAAACUCGAGGCUCAACCUCGAGACGUCGAUGGAAACCAUCUAGCUAGAGUCCGGAAGAGGAGAGUGGAAUUCCUGGUGUAGCGGUGAAAUGCGCAGAUAUCAGGAAGAACACCAAUGGCGAAGGCAGCUCGCUGGGACGGUACUGACGCUGAGACGCGAAAGCGUGGGGAGCAAACAGG